This is a long non-coding RNA of Chlorocebus sabaeus (green monkey), 2798 nucleotides long. RefSeq lists it as uncharacterized. The record is from RefSeq and is a predicted model, not a curated record. Lineage: Eukaryota; Metazoa; Chordata; Mammalia; Primates; Cercopithecidae.
GCUCAUAGCUUUCUGGUUUCUGUAUCUGAUUAUAUAAUUCAACUGUACAAGAGAUGCUGACAUUGGAAUAAUAUCACAUUUGAUAUGUAAGCCUAUUGGUUAACUUUGAGGAUAAUGAUAUUGACAUAUCUUUGAAAUAUCUAAGUACAGAUGAAAAAUAAGUGGAAUAGAGGAGAGGUUUUGUUUACCAUACACCAUAAAAUGAAUAAUAUUUAAAGCCAACAAUGUGUGACAUUGCUUACAGUGUGAGAAGAAGAGACAGCCUAGGCCUGAGCUUUGAGGAAUUUUAACCAGAAAAAUAGCAGAGAGGGAAAAAAAAACAGUAUUGGUCAUUGACUGCAAACUAUGAGUCUUUCUAAAAUAGUUAACAAUCUUGAAUGCUACUGAGAACUCAAAAAACUAAGGAUUGAAAAAUGUUUAACUACAUUUAGAGAGGACUCUUUGUACAGAUUAAGUGAGUCCACAGAGCAUGGUCUUCUACCUGAGACAGAGGCGAGAUAACAAAGACAGUGCAGAUAAUGUUUCACAAAGGUUAGCUAGAAAUGGAGAGAGAAGUGUAGUAGUGAUUGAGCAGAAAGUGGGGUGAAGGGAUCCUUUAUGAGAAAGGAUAAACAUUGAGAAAGGUUAAAUAUGUAAAGAAGCAUGAAUAAUCAAUGCUGUAAAGGUCAUGAAGAGGUAGAGAAUGGAAUCCAAGCAACAGAAAUGGAUCUUAGAUAGGAAAAGAUAACCUACUGAAAUAAACUAGGAAAUUGGAGAAGUCAAGAUUUUUAAAGGAGUUGUAAAAGUCUGAAAUACCUGUGGAAUGUGAUAGAGCAAACAGAGAUCAGAGAAAUAUAGAUCAAUUUUUGGGUCAUGUUGAGAUUGCAUUUGUGCUUGGUAAUCAUAAAUCGAAAGUGGAACCAAUCUGCACUUUUGUGUGACCUUUUCCAAUAGGGCAUAGUUAUCUCAGUUCUAAAUGUAAUAGAUGGGAAAUGCAAUAGAUAGAUUUAUCUAGUUUGAGAGUUUUGCUAGAUAUGAAAAAUAAAAAGAGAAGUAGGUGUGAUAAACUAUGCUACUGACAAGUUUAAAAUUGAAAUUAUGGACUAUGGACUUUCUUUUGAAUAAGGAGUAAAAUAAUGUUGUCUCAAAUAAGUGCAGCUGUUUCUACCUUUGUGCAGGUAAAGUUUGCAAAGACCUGAAAACUAUGGUCAAAUAAGUACAAAAUCUCCCAACAAAAGGAGAAGUAAAGAAUACCGAGGCGGUAUCUACCAUUGUGUUUACCUGAAAGAUCUACACUGAGCUAUCUCGAGGUUGCAGUGGUAGCGACGUGUGUGAGGUUGGCUGAGUUAUGGUCAUGGAAUCUGUUUUGUGGAAUUCACUCUUCUCACAGUGAUUAUAUACCAAUGGAUGUGAAUUAUUGUGCAUAAUAUUAAGUUAUCCAAUAUCUAAUCCUGAGCAUGAAGUUUAUAAUGUUCUUUUGAAAUUUAAGGACAUUUGUAAGUAUCCUCUAGUUUCAUUUCUGCUCUCUAUUUCUAACAGGUGACACAUGGGCAUUUGACCUAGAUGGAAAACAAUGUAAAUUUAUUUCAAGGACAAUAUUAUCAGAUUGUGAUGGCUAUUGGGAAUCCAGUAUUAAGGGUUCCAACCCAAAAUGCAUUCUCUGGAAGAAAUGAUGAUCUGACUACCAAUGUUUUUUUUUUUGUUUUUUGCUUGUUUAUUUGUUUUUUGGUUUGGUUGGUUGGUAUAGACUCACAUAUGAUUCAUUUAUACCAUCCUCUAUAAACCUCAAUCCAGGUUUUUCCCAAAUUAUUGUAUUAAUUUCCAUGACACUUUCAUCUUAUUUUUUAAUUCCCAUUGCCAAAACACAUGGAUGCUUUCCCCUAUUUGACCUAUUAGUUGCCUGGAAGCCUACCAGUAAGAAUAAAUCUCUCUCUCUCUCUCUCUCUCUCACACACACACACACACACACACACACAGAGUCAUUCCUCCUAGAUUAUCUGGAUUCUUAGUCUUUGUUUAUAUGUUUCCUUCAUGGUCUUGUUUUUUGAAAAUAUAAUAGAUAAAUUUGGCCUAUUCUUCUCGGGUCAGGUAAACCCAUUAAAGCCAAAAACAAAAACAACUUUUUGACCCACAACACAUAACUUUUACUUCCAAGCAACUAUGUUGAAGAUCACUUUAAUUAUCAUCAGCUACUAACAACUAUGUUAUUCUUUUGACCUGAAAUUUAUAGCUGCUCAAAAACCUUAAGGUGGUAACAUAAAAUGAAAGCAAGUACCGAUUUGAAAUAUGGAGAUUACAAAUUGGGAAUUUACAGCUGAAAUCCACGUCUGUGCUGAAGCCAGUGGAAGUGAAGAAGGGAAACUGUUGUGGUAAAAAUGAAAAAGUACAGAAGGGUGAUAUUUUUACUAAUUAGUAAAAGAGCUUAAGUUUGGGUCUGCUUCUUAGUUUUUCCUUUUGCAAUUAUUUGGAAUUUUUCUUUUUUUCAAAGAAAAUGAAUAAUUUAAAUAUGAAGCAACAUUUACAAAGGAGACAGAAUGCUUUCAUGUUCUUGCAACUGUCUGUAUGUAAAGAUAACCAGGAUUCAAUAAGUUAUAAAUACAGAUUAAAUGAAGGACAUGUGAAGAUUACCUGGUAUCCACUAUCUUUUCACUUAUUAAAGAACAUCUGAGAAUAGGGAGCCAUCUGCUACUAUCAUGUAAACAGGCCAAAAGGACUGGGCAGAGGAGCACAAGUCUGGUAUUACAGCCACAUCUGCUGGCCCAGAUCUCAGCUGGGCUCUUGCCCCAGAGGUAUGGAGGACCCAAGGACACCAAUUCUGG